AUACGGAGGGUGCAAGCGUUAAUCGGAAUUACUGGGCGUAAAGCGCACGCAGGCGGCUUUUUAAGUCGGAUGUGAAAGCCCCGGGCUCAACCUGGGAAUUGCAUCUGAUACUGGGAAGCUAGAGUAUGUGAGAGGGGGGUAGAGUUCCAAGUGUAGCGGUGAAAUGCGUAGAGAUUUGGAGGAAUACCAGUGGCGAAGGCGGCCCCCUGGCACAAUACUGACGCUCAGGUGCGAAAGCGUGGGGAGCAAACAGGAUUAGAUACCCUGGUAGUCCACGCCGUAAACGAUGUCUACUAGAUGUUCGUGGUCUUGUACCGUGAGUAUCGCAGCUAACGCAUUAAGUAGACCGCCUGGGGAGUACGGUCGCAAGAUUAAAACUCAAAUGAAUUGACGGGG
Molecule: ribosomal RNA, 396 nt
Filed under: uncultured bacterium
Lineage: Bacteria
Description: partial 16S ribosomal RNA
Rfam family: Bacterial small subunit ribosomal RNA
Source: RNAcentral